UACGUAGGGGGCGAGCGUUGUCCGGAUUCAUUGGGCGUAAAGCGCGCGCAGGCGGCUCAGCGAGCCCGGCGUGAAAGCCCCCGGCUCAACCGGGGGAGGUCGUCGGGGACCUGUGGGCUGGAGGCCGGUAGGGGCGAGUGGAAUUCCCGGUGUAGUGGUGGAAUGCGUAGAGAUCGGGAGGAACACCAGUGGCGAAGGCGACUCGCUGGACCGGUCCUGACGCUCAGGCGCGAAAGCUAGGGGAGCGAACGGG
This 253-nucleotide ribosomal RNA is filed under the name uncultured bacterium. RNAcentral describes it as "partial 16S ribosomal RNA". It matches the Rfam family "Bacterial small subunit ribosomal RNA", at positions 524 to 776 of the family's 1533-position model. The record is from RNAcentral.